CUGAAAGGGGACUCCGGUCCCCGGGACAAGCCCCCGUCGAGCCCUUGGGCUCCCCGGGUGGUGACACCCCUUACCCUUUGUUUACCUUACCUCUGUUGCUUUGGCAAGGCCCCUGCCCGGGUGGUUCCGGGCUUGGGCUCUGCCAGAGGGCCCCAACUCGUGGAUAGUUCUUGUUUGUCUGAGUACGAUAUAAUCGUUUA
RNAcentral lists this unclassified non-coding RNA (200 nucleotides) under soil metagenome. RNAcentral's name for it is "partial internal transcribed spacer 1". The record is from RNAcentral.